GAUGAACGCUGGCGGCGUGCUUAACACAUGCCAGUCGAACGGAAAGGCCAGUGCUUGCCCUGGUGCUCGAGUGGCGAACGGGUGAGUAACACGUGGGUGAUCUGCCCUGCACUUUGGGAUAAGCCUGGGAAACUGGGUCUAAUACCAGAUAGGACCAUGCUUUGGAUGGUGUGGUGGAAAGUUUUUUCGGUGUGGGAUGAGCUUGCGGCCUAUCAGCUUGUUGGUGGGGUAAUGGCCUACCAAGGCGUCGACGGGUAGCCGGCCUGAGAGGGUGUACGGCCCAAUUGGGACUGAGGUACGGCCCAGACGCCUACGGGAGGCAGCAGUGGGGAAUAUUGCACAAUGGGCGCAAGCCUGAUGCAGCGACGCCGCGUGGGGGAUGACGGCCUUCGGGUUGUAAACUCCUUUCGCAACUGACGAAGCUUUUUGUGACGGUAGGUUGAGAAGAAGCACCGGCUAACUACGUG
This 467-nucleotide ribosomal RNA is filed under the name uncultured bacterium. Its description in RNAcentral is "partial 16S ribosomal RNA". It matches the Rfam family "Bacterial small subunit ribosomal RNA", at positions 28 to 507 of the family's 1533-position model. The record is from RNAcentral.